RNAcentral lists this ribosomal RNA (464 nucleotides) under uncultured bacterium. RNAcentral describes it as "partial 16S ribosomal RNA". It matches the Rfam family "Bacterial small subunit ribosomal RNA", at positions 339 to 795 of the family's 1533-position model. The record is from RNAcentral.
CUACGGGCGGCACCAGUGGGGAAUUUUGGACAAUGGGCGCAAGCCUGAUCCAGCCAUUCCGCGUGAGUGAAGAAGGCCUUCGGGUUGUAAAGCUCUUUCGCAAGGGAAGAAAACUUAUCCUCUAACAUAGGGUGAGGUUGACGGUACCUUGAUAAGAAGCACCGGCUAACUACGUGCCAGCAGCCGCGGUAAUACGUAGGGUGCGAGCGUUAAUCGGAAUUACUGGGCGUAAAGCGUGCGCAGGCUGUUUUGUAAGUCAGAUGUGAAAUCCCCGAGCUCAACUUGGGAACUGCGUUUGAAACUACAAGACUAGAAUAUGUCAGAGGGGGGUAGAAUUCCAUGUGUAGCAGUGAAAUGCGUAGAGAUGUGGAGGAAUACCAAUGGCGAAGGCAGCCCCCUGGGAUAAUAUUGACGCUCAUGCACGAAAGCGUGGGGAGCAAACAGGAUUAGAUACCCGAGUAGUC